GUGACAGCAGCCGCGGUAAUACUCGCGGUCCAAGUCGCAGCCAUUUUUAUUGGGUCUAAAACAUCCGUAGCUUGCUUAAUAAGUUCCCUGUGAAAUUUUGUAUCUUAAAUACAAAGCGGGCAGGGAGUACUGUUGAGCUAGGGACUGGAAGACGUAAGAAGUACGAAUAAAGUAGUAGUAAAAUGCUCUGAUCUUAUUCGGACUCACAAUAGCGAAGGCAUCUUACGAGGACAGAUCUGACAGUAAGGGAUGUAGGCUAGGGGCGCAAAACGGAUUAGAAACCCGAGUAGUCC
RNAcentral lists this ribosomal RNA (293 nucleotides) under uncultured bacterium. Its description in RNAcentral is "partial 16S ribosomal RNA". It matches the Rfam family "Archaeal small subunit ribosomal RNA", at positions 455 to 747 of the family's 1478-position model. The record is from RNAcentral.